Molecule: small nuclear RNA, 157 nt
Organism: Polypterus senegalus (gray bichir)
Lineage: Eukaryota; Metazoa; Chordata; Cladistia; Polypteriformes; Polypteridae
Product: U1 spliceosomal RNA
Exons: 1
Source: RefSeq, a predicted model, not a curated record
AUACUGACCUGGCAGGGGAGAUAACAUGAUCACCAAGGUGGUUCUGCCAGGGUGAGGCUCAUCCAUUGCACUCUGGGUGUGCUGGCACCUGCAAUUUCCACAAAUGAUAUUAUUUGUUCAUGUUUUUUUUAUAGUCUUUUUGAUAUUUUGUAUUUUU